ACCGGGCCUAAGUUCCCUGGAAAG
Molecule: small nuclear RNA, 24 nt
Filed under: Arabidopsis thaliana (thale cress)
Lineage: Eukaryota; Viridiplantae; Streptophyta; Magnoliopsida; Brassicales; Brassicaceae
Description: snRNA_00686
Source: RNAcentral